This 917-nucleotide long non-coding RNA is filed under the name Marmota monax (woodchuck). The record is from RNAcentral. Lineage: Eukaryota; Metazoa; Chordata; Mammalia; Rodentia; Sciuridae.
UUUCUGACUGCGUGAUUCUGAAACACCUUCACAGUGUUAUUCAUUGUGGUGAAGGAUGGUUUCUGAUCAAUAGAGGACGUGUAGAUAAAAUAACCGAUCAAUGAAUGUAAAUUUUAUUCCUCAGGUGGUUGCUAAGUGUGACUGAGGAUCCUGAAUGGCACCCCACUUAGAACAAACCUCCAAGAUCUCAGUUGUGCACCUUCAGCUCAACUCUGCUGGUCUGGAUCUUAGGAAGCAUCUGGCACAAACCUCUCAUUUUACAGAUGACAAAACUGAAGUUUUGAGAGGUAGGGGUGACUUUCACAUUCAAACAAUUAGGGCAAAUACCAAGGUCACCUGAGUUCAAUUCCCAGGUCUUCUACUAAUAGCUGUGUGAUUUGAGGCCAGUCAUUUAUCUGCUCUGGACCUACUUCUUCUAAAGAUGAGGGCUUGGGGGAUUUAAUACGUUUUUUUUUUCUUUUGGUCCCAACAUUCUUCUCUCCACUGUACUAAAUCUUUGAUUUCAUUUAUUCCAUAGUAAAAAGUAGUUGUUUGGAAGCAGCUGCCCAUCAGGGGUCAUGUUUUGCAGUUUGUUUCCCCUGCCCUCUCACCCCUUGCCUGUAGCUAGGACCAGUUCCUACCAAUUAGAUGUGAUUGAAAAAGAAUGUCAUCCCCAGGCAGAAGCAAUUAGCAAUUAGGUACAUCAUUCCCAUUCUUUCUUUCCCAUCUUCUGACUGGAAUAGACGGACUUAAAGCUCCUCAGGGGUGAUAGAAGAACAAGACAGAAAGGAGAUUUGAAUCACUCCGCAGAAGACUGCCUGUGGAACAACUGCACUGGACCGUCAUGUGUAUAAAAAAUAAACUUCUAUGUCUUAAUUUUUGUUGUUAUUGUUUUUAAAAUUAAUAUUUACCCUAACUGAUGCACCCAAGCAACAGGC